Molecule: long non-coding RNA, 885 nt
Filed under: Trifolium pratense (red clover)
Lineage: Eukaryota; Viridiplantae; Streptophyta; Magnoliopsida; Fabales; Fabaceae
Description: long non-coding RNA (TPRA_LNC006817)
Source: RNAcentral
AGAGAGAGAGAGAGGGGUCUAAAUUGUUUCUCUUUAUUUAUUUUUACAAGAAAAAACAUAUAACAUGAAUCACUAAAUUUAAAAGCAAUUCAAACGGAACAAUCAAUCAAUCAAUCAUCAAUAAUCCUUACAACAUAAUCGAAAAAAGGGCGACUGUAGAUCGCUCUCGUGGUUUUGGCUCCUGUUCACCGUUCCAAAAUCCCUUCGAUCCCGUUUCCCUUUUUCUCUCUCGUUUGUNNNNNNNNNNNNNNNNNNNNNNNNNNNNNNNNNNNNNGUCUUUCUCCCGGUUCUAUUGCGUCUGGUAGGAAGCUUUCUAUUUUUGUCAGUCCCAGGCUUUCUCUCUGCCAUCGCAGAUUGCUUUUGGAGUUUGUUUGUCUCGUUUCCAAUUUGUUCUGACUUUGUACCUAUUGCUUCUUGUUUGGUUGAUUGGCUUGGACUGCAUAUUCAAGGUUUGUAUUGUUAUUACAAACUUUAUCUUUGGUUUAUUCUUUUUUGUUUUUCAAUAGAUUUUGUGUGUUUUUUUUUUGGUCCUUUAAUUGAAGUGUUCAAUUUUGAUUUUUUUUUCUUUUGCAGGGUUUGAUUUUGUUUGUUUGUUUGUUUCAUUUUAAAGGUUUGAACUUGUUUCUUGUUUUAUUUGUUAUCCUAUAUAUUGUAUAUUUGGUGUAUUGUUUCUUUUUCAUCUAACAAUGGAGCUAUUUUUGCAACUGUAUAAAGGUAUGUAUGCAUUUUCAUUGAUUUAAUUUGCUAUUUGGUUGUUAGUGCUUAUUGGUUUCUAUUCUCUUGCCUUUAUUUUCGGUUUGGUGGGUGAGGUUUUUGUUUCCUGGAUUUUCUUCCUCUGUUAGAUGCCCCUUUCCUUGUAUCUUCCUCUUUGGUACUUUUUGUAUN